CCUUAAAACCUGUUUCCGGCACCGUCGGCUCUUCUCCUGGAUUACACAUUCACAGAUUAAUUUAUUGCUAGAACAGAGUCUCCAGUUCAGAGAGGUGGUUGUUCUUGUUGUUUGGCCAAUCAAAGGCUGAUGAGGUAGGCAGUGCAACCUGGCUGGCACGGGGUAGCAACUCCCCGCUUAAUAAGUAAACACAAAUACCACAGCCUACUUAUCACCACAGCUUCCGCAGUAGGUCCGAGGGAAAAACAAGCGUCCAACGACGUCCUUCCCGAGCAGACUUUGAGAAAGACGCCCACAAGGCUCGCGACCAAGCAGAGCCAAGGCCACCUCACCUGUCCGAAGGAGAUAUGAAAUUAGCCAGCAGUGACUUAUUUGGCAAUAAAGAACAUGAAGAACGUGAUUUCUGAACCUGAACAAGAAGAGAUGGUACCUGGACACUGAAGAAUCAUCACAUGCUCUGAUAUGUACAAUAAACCGAUAUCUCUUCUCUACCCA
Non-coding RNA from Ceratotherium simum simum (southern white rhinoceros), 495 nucleotides. The record is from RefSeq and is a predicted model, not a curated record. NCBI's taxonomy places the organism in Eukaryota, Metazoa, Chordata, Mammalia, Perissodactyla, Rhinocerotidae.